Molecule: ribosomal RNA, 253 nt
Filed under: uncultured bacterium
Lineage: Bacteria
Description: partial 16S ribosomal RNA
Rfam family: Bacterial small subunit ribosomal RNA
Source: RNAcentral
GACGAACCGUGCGAACGUUGUUCGGAAUCACUGGGCUUAAAGGGCGCGUAGGCGGGCCCGCAAGUCAGGGGUGAAAUCCCACGGCGCAACCGUGGAAGUGCCUUUGAUACUGCGGGUCUCGAGGGAGGUAGGGGCGUGCGGAACUUCCGGUGGAGCGGUGAAAUGCGUAGAUAUCGGAAGGAACACCGGUGGCGAAAGCGGCGCGCUGGACCUCUUCUGACGCUGAGGCGCGAAAGCCAGGGGAGCGAACGGG